This 253-nucleotide ribosomal RNA is filed under the name uncultured bacterium. RNAcentral's name for it is "partial 16S ribosomal RNA". It matches the Rfam family "Bacterial small subunit ribosomal RNA", at positions 524 to 776 of the family's 1533-position model. The record is from RNAcentral.
UACGGGGGGGGCAAGCGUUGUUCGGAAUUACUGGGCGUAAAGGGCGCGUAGGCGGCCUGCUAAGUCGGACGUGAAAUCCCUCGGCUCAACCGAGGAACUGCGUCCGAUACUGGUGGGCUUGAAUCCGGGAGAGGGAUGUGGAAUUCCAGGUGUAGCGGUGAAAUGCGCAGAUAUCAGGAAGAACACCCGUGGCUAAGGCGGCUCUCUAGUACGGUACUGACGCUGAGACGCGAAAGCGUGGGGAGCGAACAGG